This 504-nucleotide ribosomal RNA is filed under the name uncultured bacterium. RNAcentral describes it as "partial 16S ribosomal RNA". It matches the Rfam family "Bacterial small subunit ribosomal RNA", at positions 30 to 523 of the family's 1533-position model. The record is from RNAcentral.
AUUGAACGCUGGCGGCAGGCCUAACACAUGCAAGUCGAACGGUAGCACAGAGAGCUUGCUCUCGGGUGACGAGUGGCGGACGGGUGAGUAAUGUCUGGGAAACUGCCCGAUGGAGGGGGAUAACUACUGGAAACGGUAGCUAAUACCGCAUAACGUCGCAAGACCAAAGUGGGGGACCUUCGGGCCUCACACCAUCGGAUGUGCCCAGAUGGGAUUAGCUAGUAGGUGGGGUAAUGGCUCACCUAGGCGACGAUCCCUAGCUGGUCUGAGAGGAUGACCCGACACACUGGACCUGGGACACGGUCCAGACUCCUACGGGAGGCAGCAGUGGGGAAUAUUGCACAAUGGGCGCAAGCCUGAUGCGGCCAUGCCGCGUGUAUGAAGAAGGCCUUCGGGUUGUAAAGUACUUUCAGCGGGGAGGAAGGCGGUGAAGUUAAUAGCUUCACCGAUUGACGUUACCCGCAGAAGAAGCACCGGCUAACUCCGUGCCAGCCGCCGCCGUAA